GACAGAGGGUGCAAACGUUGUUCGGAAUUACUGGGCGUAAAGCGCGUGUAGGCUGCUCGGAAAGUCGGAUGUGAAAGCCCUGGGCUCAACCUAGGAAGUGCAUUCGAAACUUCUGAGCUGGAGUGCUGGAGAGGAAGGCGGAAUUCUCGGUGUAGAGGUGAAAUUCGUAGAUAUCGAGAGGAACACCGGUGGCGAAGGCGGCCUUCUGGACAGUAACUGACGCUGAGACGCGAAAGCGUGGGGAGCAAACGGG
RNAcentral lists this ribosomal RNA (253 nucleotides) under uncultured bacterium. RNAcentral describes it as "partial 16S ribosomal RNA". It matches the Rfam family "Bacterial small subunit ribosomal RNA", at positions 524 to 776 of the family's 1533-position model. The record is from RNAcentral.